RNAcentral lists this ribosomal RNA (517 nucleotides) under uncultured bacterium. RNAcentral describes it as "bacterial SSU rRNA". It matches the Rfam family "Bacterial small subunit ribosomal RNA", at positions 992 to 1509 of the family's 1533-position model. The record is from RNAcentral.
AGAACUUAGCAGAGAUGCUUUGGUGCCUUCGGGAACUCUGAGACAGGUGCUGCAUGGCUGUCGUCAGCUCGUGUUGUGAAAUGUUGGGUUAAGUCCCGCAACGAGCGCAACCCUUAUCCUUUGUUGCCAGCGGUCCGGCCGGGAACUCAAAGGAGACUGCCAGUGAUAAACUGGAGGAAGGUGGGGAUGACGUCAAGUCAUCAUGGCCCUUACGAGUAGGGCUACACGCGUGCUACAAUGGCGCAUACAAAGAGAAGCGACCUCGCGAGAGCAAGCGGACCUCAUAAAGUGCGUCGUAGUCCGGAUUGGAGUCUGCAACUCGACUCCAUGAAGUCGGAAUCGCUAGUAAUCGUAGAUCAGAAUGCUACGGUGAAUACGUUCCCGGGCCUUGUACACACCGCCCGUCACACCAUGGGAGUGGGUUGCAAAAGAAGUAGGUAGCUUAACCUUCGGGAGGGCGCUUACCACUUUGUGAUUCAUGACUGGGGUGAAGUCGUAACAAGGUAGGCGUAGCGAG